Molecule: ribosomal RNA, 475 nt
Filed under: uncultured organism
Description: partial 16S ribosomal RNA
Rfam family: Bacterial small subunit ribosomal RNA
Source: RNAcentral
CACUCCUGCGGGAGGCAGCAGUGGGGAAUAUUGCACAAUGGGCGCAAGCCUGAUGCAGCCAUGCCGCGUGUAUGAAGAAGGCCUUCGGGUUGUAAAGUACUUUCAGCGGGGAGGAAGGCGAUAAGGUUAAUAACCUUGUUGAUUGACGUUACCCGCAGAAGAAGCACCGGCUAACUCCGUGCCAGCAGCCGCGGUAAUACGGAGGGUGCAAGCGUUAAUCGGAAUUACUGGGCGUAAAGCGCACGCAGGCGGUCUGUCAAGUCGGAUGUGAAAUCCCCGGGCUCAACCUGGGAACUGCAUUCGAAACUGGCAGGCUAGAGUCUUGUAGAGGGGGGUAGAAUUCCAGGUGUAGCGGUGAAAUGCGUAGAGAUCUGGAGGAAUACCGGUGGCGAAGGCGGCCCCCUGGACAAAGACUGACGCUCAGGUGCGAAAGCGUGGGGAGCAAACAGGAUUAGAUACCCCGGUAGUCCCAUGA